GUCGGCAAAACAUUUAAGUGGAGAAACGAGAAUGUAAAGUUCCGGUUGUGGCAACUUGAUCAGAACGAACUAAGUAAGUGGCAAGACAUUUGCACGCAUGCCACAACCAGUUCCCCUGUCCUCUUUCUGGCUUGUCAGUCAGUUGGUUGGGUACGUUCCGUUUCCUUACAAGUUUUCCCCCUGCCUGAGACAGCCAACAAUUUUUUCAAUUUGUGUGUAAUUCUUACUUAGGCAGCGGCGGCGGCGCCUCGCACUCGUACUCGUGUGAGCUCCUCGCUGCUUGGCGACAGUUUCCUAAAGUGACGUUGACAAGCAGAGCAGGUCGUCCCCGUCACACUGAUGUCUGCUACUGCUGCUACUGCUACUGUCAGCCACGUAUGAAGGGAGCCCUAGAUCCUCCUGUCCAAGGGUUUUGUGUUGCCCAAAGUCUAGAGUCUAGACCAUGCUGUGAAGCACUUUUCUCUCCACAAAAGUUUCAUUUGUCGUCUGCCAGGCAUUCAGAUACUCGUACACACUCGAACUUUAUACACUUUCAAUUCAUUAAACUUUAAAUUUAAAGUGACAUUGUGAUGAAAGGGAUAUUCCCGAGUACGAGUACGAGUAGAU
RNAcentral lists this long non-coding RNA (606 nucleotides) under Drosophila guanche. Lineage: Eukaryota; Metazoa; Arthropoda; Insecta; Diptera; Drosophilidae. The record is from RNAcentral.